This 367-nucleotide ribosomal RNA is filed under the name uncultured bacterium. RNAcentral's name for it is "bacterial SSU rRNA". It matches the Rfam family "Bacterial small subunit ribosomal RNA", at positions 28 to 393 of the family's 1533-position model. The record is from RNAcentral.
GAUGAACGCUAGCGGCAGGCCUAAUACAUGCAAGUCGAGGGGCAGCGCGGUAGCAAUACUGGCGGCGACCGGCGCACGGGUGCGUAACACGUAUGCAACCUACCUUCAACUGGAGGAUAGCCCGGGGAAACUCGGAUUAAUACUCCAUAACACAGGGAUCCCGCAUGGGAAUAUUGUUAAAGCUACGGCGGUUGAAGAUGGGCAUGCGUUCGAUUAGCUAGUUGGUGUAGGUAACGGCUCACCAAGGCUACGAUCGAUAGGGGUCUGAGAGGAUGAUCCCCACACUGGUACUGAGAUACGGACCAGACUCCUACGGGAGGCAGCAGUAGGGAAUAUUGGUCAAGUGGGCGCAAGGCCUGAACCAGCU